This 77-nucleotide transfer RNA is filed under the name Candidatus Hydrogenedentota bacterium. RNAcentral's name for it is "tRNA-His". It matches the Rfam family "tRNA". Rfam says of the family: Transfer RNA (tRNA) molecules are approximately 80 nucleotides in length. Their secondary structure includes four short double-helical elements and three loops (D, anti-codon, and T loops). Further hydrogen bonds mediate the characteristic L-shaped molecular structure. tRNAs have two regions of fundamental functional importance: the anti-codon, which is responsible for specific mRNA codon recognition, and the 3' end, to which the tRNAs corresponding amino acid is attached (by aminoacyl-tRNA synthetases). tRNAs cope with the degeneracy of the genetic code in two manners: having more than one tRNA (with a specific anti-codon) for a particular amino acid; and 'wobble' base-pairing, i.e. permitting non-standard base-pairing at the 3rd anti-codon position. The record is from RNAcentral. Lineage: Bacteria; Pseudomonadati; Candidatus Hydrogenedentota.
GCCGGGAUAGCUCAGUUGGUUAGAGCGCUGGGUUGUGGACCCAGAGGUCGAGCGUUCGAGCCGCUCUCCCGGUACCA